Molecule: ribosomal RNA, 773 nt
Filed under: uncultured bacterium
Lineage: Bacteria
Description: bacterial SSU rRNA
Rfam family: Bacterial small subunit ribosomal RNA
Source: RNAcentral
AGAGUUUGAUCAUGGCUCAGGACGAACGCUGGCGGCGUGCUUAACACAUGCAAGUCGAACGGAAAGGCCCUUCGGGGUACUCGAGUGGCGAACGGGUGAGUAACACGUGGGUGAUCUGCCCUGCACUCUGGGAUAAGCCUGGGAAACUGGGUCUAAUACCGGAUAGGACCGCAUGCUUCAUGGUGUGUGGUGCAAAGCUUUUGCGGUGUGGGGUGAGCCCGCGGCCUAUCAGCUUGUUGGUGGGGUAAUGGCCUACCAAGGCGACGACGGGUAGCCGGCCUGAGAGGGUGACCGGCCACGCUGGGACUGAGAUACGGCCCAGACUCCUACGGGAGGCAGCAGUGGGGAAUAUUGCACAAUGGGCGCAAGCCUGAUGCAGCGACGCCGCGUGAGGGAUGACGGCCUUCGGGUUGUAAACCUCUUUCAGUAGGGACGAAGCGAAAGUGACGGUACCUACAGAAGAAGGACCGGCCAACUACGUGCCAGCAGCCGCGGUAAUACGUAGGGUCCGAGCGUUGUCCGGAAUUACUGGGCGUAAAGAGCUCGUAGGUGGUUUGUCGCGUUGUUCGUGAAAACUCACAGCUUAACUGUGGGCGUGCGGGCGAUACGGGCAGACUAGAGUACUGCAGGGGAGACUGGAAUUCCUGGUGUAGCGGUGGAAUGCGCAGAUAUCAGGAGGAACACCGGUGGCGAAGGCGGGUCUCUGGGCAGUAACUGACGCUGAGGAGCGAAAGCGUGGGUAGCGAACAGGAUUAGAUACCCUGGUAGUCCAA